UAGUGCCCUUUAAGCUGCAGGAAGGGGAGGUUCGGAUCAUCUCGCUGUCUCAGUGUCAGUCUUAUUUCGACAUGAAGACCAUCACUCCCAGGAUGCUUUGUGCCGGCUACGACGCUGGAACCGUCGACUCCUGCAUGGGUGACAGUGGCGGUCCGUUGGUGUGUGAGGAGGAGGACGGUCACUGGACAUUGUUUGGCCUGACGUCGUGGGGCAGCGUGUGUUUCAGUAAAGUGCUCGGACCUGGAGUUUACAGCAACGUGACGCACUUUACCCCCUGGAUCCAACAACAGAUCUACAUCCACACAUACCUGAACGACUGACUUACACACAUACACACACACACACACAACCUCUUUCAUUCCAGGAGGAAGUGAUGUCAUCAUCAGUCACACACACCUGCAGUUCCUCUACCUGUGCCUAUAUCUAUACUGAUAGCCUUCAGAUGCUAACUGCUAUACGAGCAGUAGUAUAAACUAGUAUUACAGAUGCUAACUAGUUAGCUAGUAGAGCUGUUGUUGUUAACAAGUAGACAUCACAUCCAUACAAUUAAACAUUGAGUUAACACUAAGUUAUUACUUUUAUUAAUUUCUUUAUUCUACAGUGUUGGGCUUGUUGCUCAGAAACAUGUAUGGAAGCAAAAAAAGUCAAGAAAUAACUACACACCUACUGCAAAUGUAAACAUUACUGAAUAUUUAAAGUUGAAAUUUAAGCAGAACAUUUCACUGCAACAAAUAUCUUGGUGACAUAUGUUUCACUCUGAAAACCAAAAUAGUCUCUUAUUGAAGGGAAUGUCAUUCCCUGUAAAAUAUUUCAGUACCAUUUAAACUUUAACAUUAAAUAUUCAGUAGUAGUUAAAUUUCAUACUGACAUAAAAAUUCAAAUCAAUAUGAAGUGUUUUUGAUUCAUUAAUUAAAGUUAUUAUUAGUUGAUUUGUAGCUUGAUAGCAUCAGUAACUCAGAGGAAAAUCUAUCCAUCCAGAGAAUUCAGCAGUCUGAUCUUCACUUUUACAGGAAUAUUUCUUGUAAACAGGACUUCAGUUAAUUGUUGCAUUAAUAAUCUCCAAAGUGAACUGAACUCAUGGUCAGGUUUAAAACAUCAUCCGAUCGUCUGCUUCUUCAGCUAAACAUUAAAAUUUAAAUCACCAUUAUACCGUUGUCACAAUGUUCGGGUGUUCAGCGCUGAAGUUCUAAAAGCUGCUAGCUAAAACAGACCAGCUGAGCACUCAACCUCCCACAAUGCUUCACUCUAUAGUGCCUGUACUUAAACCUAGCAGUAAAAAAAAAAACAACAACUUGUUACCUGUAUAAUGUUGUACUGUAUGUGAGUAUGUGUGAGAGCGAGAAAGGGGAUUUUUAUUUUGCUUCUAAACACACUGGCAACUUAUUUGGUCAACUUUGAUGGACAAUGUUUAUCACUGAGCUUUAUUUACGUUUAAUUCACAUUUUUAAUUCUUUAAAAUGUCACGUAGGACCACCCAUGCCCUGAAAUAUUCUUUUUCUUUCUGCUGAUAUGUCUUAUGUUUUAAAUAUCUUUUUAAAAUCCUUCUUUCAGGGCUUCAGGAGUUCUGUAGAGUCUAUACAGCACCCAGACUCAGUCAUGUUUUAAAACGUUAACAUAAAAUGGUGCACUGUAAUGUAAUCAUAAACAGGUCUAAGUGCUUAUGUGUUUGUUAACAAGUCUAACUCUUGCUGUAUAAACAGAUAAUGAACCACAAUAUAGUAGAAGACAGCUGUAACAAGAUAAGUAGGGAAAAUACUCAACAUGAAUUAACAUUAAUUUAGACUUAAAUAUCCUUAUAUCUGCUUAUAAACAGUUAAUUACUUGUGUAUGUACUGAUUAUACAUGAUAAAUAGGGGUACCUACAGCAGUCAAAAUUUAUCUAUGAAUUUAGGUGUUAAGUUAAAAUAAAGGGUAAAGAAAAAACAGGUCAUUAGUCAUAUCUGUUGCAUAUUGCUAACACAGACAACUGGUCGGUGUUUUAUGAUGUUAGCAAAUGUUAUCAAUAAGGUAAAUUAGCUUUAGCUGUUAAUUUACAAAUCAAAAAAUCUGUAGUUUUAAAAGAAGCUGUUUUAGAUAGCUACUUAGCUAAUGCUUACCUUAGACUCGCUAACAAAAACAAUUAACUGCCAACUUAGCGCCAGCUAGAAUGUGAAGCACAAAUGUAGCAUAUCGGCAAUAGAUCAUUAAUGCAUUCUCAUUUUGUAUUAGCAAAUGUUAGCAGUAAGCUACAUUAACUUUAGCUAUGUAUCUAUUAAUAUCUAUUAUCUAUGAAUGAAUCAGAAUUCAAAGGAAUUUCUGCCUUUAAUGAUACAUUCACUCAAUGUUGUCAGAACGUGGAGAACAGAAAAACAGGCAUUAUUCUAAGGUGUUAGCCCAAGUGCUAAUCUUGUAGCCACAGCAGAUAAACCAGCUAAAGACUAAACUAGCUUUUUUUGUUCUGUAUAUGCCAGAAUUAUCUUUAAAAAAAAUUAAGAGUUGCAGACAUUUUCACUUAAAUGGGGGGAGUCAGAAUAUCUUAUUUCAGACUUGAAAUAUUUACAUCAGGAUUAAGAGAACAACAUGUUUCCAACCCUGCAGUCGAGCUGCCCAACAAGUUGCCCAACAGGUUGCCCAGUGUGUCCUCCAUGCUAAGGUCUAACUGACAUCCAGAACAUUCCAGGUGGUCGUUGUUGUCGUUGUUUUGUGUGUUUGGUUUUUUAAAAGUAUUUUUCUACAGUUUUUUGUAUGUCAUGCUUCUUACACAGGGCUGUUGGUGUGUAUGUGUGUGAGUGUGAGUGUGUGUGUGAACAUACAGUCACGUGUACAGACUGUGUGUUUGUAUGUGAUUUGGCUUGUGUGUGUGUGUGUGUGUGUUUCUGAUGUCACUUCCUGAUUUAGCUGUUAGAACUUUGUUAUCACGAUGAUGAUGAUGAUGAUGAUGAAGAGUGUUAUUGUUUGAUUACAUGGAUUUAAAUGCUUUAUGAAAAGACUGUAGCUUCUGAUGUUUGUGUAAACAGUGAAUAUUUGGUUUGUAUCACCUUGUAUCCACCAAUAAAACUAUACACACACUCUGUCA
RNA transcript from Lates calcarifer (barramundi perch), 3055 nucleotides. RefSeq lists it as uncharacterized. The transcript has 2 exons. NCBI's taxonomy places the organism in Eukaryota, Metazoa, Chordata, Actinopteri, Centropomidae. The record is from RefSeq and is a predicted model, not a curated record.